UCGAGCGCUACCUUCGGGUGGAGCGGCGGACGGGUUAGUAACGCGUGGGAAUAUACCCUUCACUAUGGAAUAGCCUCGGGAAACUGAGAGUAAUACCAUAUACGCCCUUCGGGGGAAAGAUUUAUCGGUGAAGGAUUAGCCCGCGUAAGAUUAGAUAGUUGGUGGGGUAAUGGCCUACCAAGUCUACGAUCUUUAGCUGGUUUUAGAGGAUGAUCAGCAACACUGGGACUGAGACACGGCCCAGACUCCUACGGGAGGCAGCAGUGGGGAAUCUUAGACAAUGGGCGAAAGCCUGAUCUAGCCAUGCCGCGUGAGUGAUGAAGGUCUUAGGAUCGUAAAGCUCUUUCGCUAGGGAUGAUAAUGACAGUACCUAGUAAAGAAGCCCCGGCUAACUCCGUGCCAGCAGCCGCGGUAAUACG
This 419-nucleotide ribosomal RNA is filed under the name uncultured Alphaproteobacteria bacterium. RNAcentral's name for it is "bacterial SSU rRNA". It matches the Rfam family "Bacterial small subunit ribosomal RNA", at positions 62 to 527 of the family's 1533-position model. Lineage: Bacteria; Pseudomonadati; Pseudomonadota; Alphaproteobacteria. The record is from RNAcentral.